CAGUCGACGAUGAACCCGCUUCGGUGGGGGAUUAGUGGCGAACGGGUGAGUAACACGUGGGCAAUCUGCCCUGCACUCUGGGACAAGCCCUGGAAACGGGGUCUAAUACCGGAUACGACCACUGAGGGCAUCCUUGGUGGUGGAAAGCUCCGGCGGUGCAGGAUGAGCCCGCGGCCUAUCAGCUUGUUGGUGGGGUGAUGGCCUACCAAGGCGACGACGGGUAGCCGGCCUGAGAGGGCGACCGGCCACACUGGGACUGAGACACGGCCCAGACUCCUACGGGAGGCAGCAGUGGGGAAUAUUGCACAAUGGGCGAAAGCCUGAUGCAGCGACGCCGCGUGAGGGAUGACGGCCUUCGGGUUGUAAACCUCUUUCAGCAGGGAAGAAGCGAAAGUGACGGUACCUGCAGAAGAAGCGCCGGCUAACUACGUGCCAGCAGCCGCGGUAAUACGUAGGGCGCAAGCGUUGUCCGGAAUUAUUGGGCGUAAAGAGCUCGUAGGCGGCUUGUCGCGUCGGUUGUGAAAGCCCGGGGCUUAACCCCGGGUCUGCAGUCGAUACGGGCAGGCUAGAGUUCGGUAGGGGAGAUCGGAAUUCCUGGUGUAGCGGUGAAAUGCGCAGAUAUCAGGAGGAACACCGGUGGCGAAGGCGGAUCUCUGGGCCGAUACUGACGCUGAGGA
RNAcentral lists this ribosomal RNA (677 nucleotides) under Streptomyces wuyuanensis. RNAcentral describes it as "bacterial SSU rRNA". It matches the Rfam family "Bacterial small subunit ribosomal RNA", at positions 59 to 752 of the family's 1533-position model. Lineage: Bacteria; Bacillati; Actinomycetota; Actinomycetes; Kitasatosporales; Streptomycetaceae. The record is from RNAcentral.